AUGAUUCCUAUCGAGGUUCCUGUCUUCCACCGCGCCACCUCGAUCAAGCUGGACGUGCACAACCUAUAUCUAACACCGCCGGCCCAUGGACUUGAGUUCCCUGUGCUGGAGAGGCUGUCCGUUGCUGGCUUCCGCUUCGACAUGGAUGAGCUUGUCCAGCGCUGCCCUCACCUGCGCGUACUAGAGGUGGGCAGCGGCGGGGGUCUCUAUAAGAUCAAAGUCCACUCACCGACCAUCGAGGAGCUUGUCGUGGACUACGAAUGUUGGGUGAACGGCAUCGACAUCAUGGCACCUGUGCUUAAGAAGUUCGAGCUGAGGACCUCGAUGGGCUCGGAUUUCAGCGUGUCGUUCUACGCGCCGAUGGUGGAGAAUCUCUGGUGGGACGUUUCUUGCCCCAAGCUGAAUGUCGGGAUUGAUGUCUGGCGCUUGCGCGACCUGACUCUGUGGAAGGAGGAGAGCGGCAAUACCCUAUGGUUGUUUAUAGAUGCUCCAACGGUAUAUGCACCAGUUGCGCAGCGGAACUUCAGUCAAGAGAUAGCAUCACUUCCCAACUUUUCUGUUCUGCAGCUAUGUCUGGUAACACGGGGGCAUAUUUUUGGGCCCCUUGUGUUGAGUCUACUUGGGAUCUGCACCGUAAUACAUAAGCUUAAGGUGGCCAUAGACAACGACAAGUGCAGAGAAGUAUGCCCAUCAAAUUGUCCUUGUGAGCAAUCCCAAAACUGGAGAAGCCAAACUAUCUCGUUGCCAGCUCUUGAAGAAGUAGAAAUAAAAGGUUUCGAAGGAAAUGGCGACGAAAUUGAUUUCAUGAAACUUCUGUUCAGAUGCACGCCUCUGAUGACAACAAUGACCGUGACACUGGCCCCUGAGGUUUUACCAACGAGCAGAGGAUGCGAGAAAACCUACAGAAUUUUUAGGGAAAACCCAUCUGUGAAAUGCCGUGUUUAUCGCAGCGGUGGGGAGGAGGUUCUGUGCCCAUGA
RNAcentral lists this ribosomal RNA (978 nucleotides) under Triticum aestivum (bread wheat). RNAcentral describes it as "partial small subunit ribosomal RNA". Lineage: Eukaryota; Viridiplantae; Streptophyta; Magnoliopsida; Poales; Poaceae. The record is from RNAcentral.